RNAcentral lists this ribosomal RNA (19 nucleotides) under Juniperus deppeana. RNAcentral's name for it is "partial 26S ribosomal RNA". Lineage: Eukaryota; Viridiplantae; Streptophyta; Pinopsida; Cupressales; Cupressaceae. The record is from RNAcentral.
CGCGUCCCGCCCCCCCCCC